GACGAACGCUGGCGGCGUGCCUAAUACAUGCAAGUAGAACGCACAGUAUAUACCGUAGCUUGCUACACCAUAGACUGUGAGUUGCGAACGGGUGAGUAACGCGUAGGUAACCUGCCUGGUAGCGGGGGAUAACUAUUGGAAACGAUAGCUAAUACCGCAUAAUAUUAAUUAUUGCAUGAUAAUUGAUUGAAAGAUGCAACUGCAUCACUACCAGAUGGACCUGCGUUGUAUUAGCUAGUAGGUGAGGUAACGGCUCACCUAGGCGACGAUACAUAGCCGACCUGAGAGGGUGAUCGGCCACACUGGGACUGAGACACGGCCCAGACUCCUACGGGAGGCAGCAGUAGGGAAUCUUCGGCAAUGGACGAAAGUCUGACCGAGCAACGCCGCGUGAGUGAAGAAGGUUUUCGGAUCGUAAAGCUCUGUUGUAAGAGAAGAACGGGUGUGAGAGUGGAAAGUUCACACUGUGACG
This 472-nucleotide ribosomal RNA is filed under the name Streptococcus gordonii. Its description in RNAcentral is "bacterial SSU rRNA". It matches the Rfam family "Bacterial small subunit ribosomal RNA", at positions 28 to 474 of the family's 1533-position model. The record is from RNAcentral. Lineage: Bacteria; Bacillati; Bacillota; Bacilli; Lactobacillales; Streptococcaceae.